CCUACGGGAGGCAGCAGUGAGGAAUAUUGGUCAAUGGGCGAUAGCCUGAACCAGCCAAGUAGCGUGAAGGAUGACUGCCCUAUGGGUUGUAAACUUCUUUUGUCGGGGAGCAAAGCGAGUCACGUGUGACUCAUUGAGAGUACCCGAAGAAAAAGCAUCGGCUAACUCCGUGCCAGCAGCCGCGGUAAUACGGAGGAUGCGAGCGUUAUCCGGAUUUAUUGGGUUUAAAGGGUGCGCAGGCGGAGGUGCAAGUCAGCGGUAAAAUUGCGGAGCUCAACCCCGUACAGCCGUUGAAACUGCAUCCCUUGAGUGCGCGAGAAGUAUGCGGAAUGCGUGGUGUAGCGGUGAAAUGCAUAGAUAGCACGCAGAACUCCGAUUGCGAAGGCAGUAUACCGGCGCGCAACUGACGCUCAUGCACGAAAGCGUGGGUAUCGAACAGGAUUAGAUACCCCUGUAGUC
This 459-nucleotide ribosomal RNA is filed under the name uncultured bacterium. RNAcentral's name for it is "partial 16S ribosomal RNA". It matches the Rfam family "Bacterial small subunit ribosomal RNA", at positions 338 to 795 of the family's 1533-position model. The record is from RNAcentral.